RNAcentral lists this ribosomal RNA (260 nucleotides) under Streptococcus dysgalactiae subsp. equisimilis. RNAcentral's name for it is "partial 16S ribosomal RNA". It matches the Rfam family "Bacterial small subunit ribosomal RNA", at positions 1283 to 1533 of the family's 1533-position model. Lineage: Bacteria; Bacillati; Bacillota; Bacilli; Lactobacillales; Streptococcaceae. The record is from RNAcentral.
CAAUCUCAGUUCGGAUUGUAGGCUGCAACUCGCCUACAUGAAGUCGGAAUCGCUAGUAAUCGCGGAUCAGCACGCCGCGGUGAAUACGUUCCCGGGCCUUGUACACACCGCCCGUCACACCACGAGAGUUUGUAACACCCGAAGUCGGUGAGGUAACCUAUUAGGAGCCAGCCGCCUAAGGUGGGAUAGAUGAUUGGGGUGAAGUCGUAACAAGGUAGCCGUAUCGGAAGGUGCGGCUGGAUCACCUCCUUUCUAAGGAA